RNAcentral lists this ribosomal RNA (253 nucleotides) under uncultured bacterium. RNAcentral describes it as "partial 16S ribosomal RNA". It matches the Rfam family "Bacterial small subunit ribosomal RNA", at positions 524 to 776 of the family's 1533-position model. The record is from RNAcentral.
UACGGGGGGGGCAAGCGUUGUUCGGAAUUACUGGGCGUAAAGGGCUCGUAGGCGGCCAACUAAGUCGGAUGUGAAAUCCCCAGGCUUAACCUGGGAACUGCAUCCGAUACUGGAUGGCUUGAAUCCGGGAGAGGGAUGCAGAAUUCCAGGUGUAGCGGUGAAAUGCGUAGAUAUCUGGAGGAAUACCGGUGGCGAAGGCGGGUCUCUGGACAGUUCCUGACGCUGAUGCACGAAGGCCAGGGGAGCAAACGGG